Molecule: unclassified non-coding RNA, 21 nt
Filed under: Mus musculus (house mouse)
Lineage: Eukaryota; Metazoa; Chordata; Mammalia; Rodentia; Muridae
Description: oocyte_clustered_small_RNA13183
Source: RNAcentral
AGAGACACCAGUAGAUUGGUG